Molecule: small nuclear RNA, 139 nt
Organism: Penicillium griseofulvum
Lineage: Eukaryota; Fungi; Ascomycota; Eurotiomycetes; Eurotiales; Aspergillaceae
Rfam family: U4 spliceosomal RNA
About the family: U4 small nuclear RNA (U4 snRNA) is a component of the major U2-dependent spliceosome. The structure of U4 snRNA from yeast and human has been reported.
Source: Rfam
AUCCUAGUGCAUGGGUUUUACACGUAUCAGUGAGGAGAUAUCCGAGAUCGUGUUUUGCUAAUUUAAAACUACUAAUUGAGUACUUUAAGCGGGCCUUCGGGCCUGUUUAGGAAUUUUUGAAACACUCCUAUCUUGAAGU